AUGAGGUCGCCGCAAGCUCUCUCGCUUCUUGUUGUUGUCCUCCUCCUUGCCUCGUCCAGUGCUUCCGUCAUAGAAGACACAUGCAGGCGCUUCGAUGGCGCUGACAUCUACGAUAUCUGCAUCAAGUUCUUCAAGGCCAACAAGGAUAGCACCACCACGGACAAGCGUGGCCUUGCUGUCAUCGCCAUUGGGAUUGCCAGUGCAACAGCUGUGGACACCCGCAAGCGUGUCGCCACCCUGAAGGCCGAGGAAAAGGAUCAAAUUAUCCAGCAUGUCCUCGCCUACUGUGACAAUAUGUACUCCAGUGUUGUGGGCCUAUUUGACAAGGCUGCCAGGGGCAUCUCGUUGGGCAGGUUGGGCGACGCGGUGAUGAGCCUUAGCUCCGCACUGGACAUUCCCAAAUAUUGCGAUGACAAGUUCCUCGAGGCAGGCGUGAAGUCGCCAUUCGAUGCCGAGAACAGCGAGUUCGAGGUGCAAUGUGCAAUCACUCUGGGUGUAACGAAGAUGCUGACCAUGUAG
This 519-nucleotide ribosomal RNA is filed under the name Triticum aestivum (bread wheat). Its description in RNAcentral is "partial small subunit ribosomal RNA". Lineage: Eukaryota; Viridiplantae; Streptophyta; Magnoliopsida; Poales; Poaceae. The record is from RNAcentral.